GACGAACGCUGGCGGCGUGCUUAACACAUGCAAGUCGAACGGAAAGGCCCUGCUUUUGUGGGGUGCUCGAGUGGCGAACGGGUGAGUAACACGUGAGUAACCUGCCCUUGACUUUGGGAUAACUUCAGGAAACUGGGGCUAAUACCGGAUAGGAGCUCCUGCUGCAUGGUGGGGGUUGGAAAGUUUCGGCGGUUGGGGAUGGACUCGCGGCUUAUCAGCUUGUUGGUGGGGUAGUGGCUUACCAAGGCUUUGACGGGUAGCCGGCCUGAGAGGGUGACCGGCCACAUUGGGACUGGGAUACGGCCCAGACUCCUACGGGAGGCAGCAGUGGGGAAUAUUGCACAAUGGGCGGAAGCCGAAUGCAGCAACGCCGCGUGCGGGAUGACGGCCUUCGGGUUGUAAACCGCUUUCGCCUGUGACGAAGCGUGAGUGACGGUAAUGGGUAAAGAAGCACCGGCUAACUACGUG
This 468-nucleotide ribosomal RNA is filed under the name uncultured bacterium. RNAcentral's name for it is "partial 16S ribosomal RNA". It matches the Rfam family "Bacterial small subunit ribosomal RNA", at positions 28 to 507 of the family's 1533-position model. The record is from RNAcentral.